Molecule: ribosomal RNA, 588 nt
Filed under: Triticum aestivum (bread wheat)
Lineage: Eukaryota; Viridiplantae; Streptophyta; Magnoliopsida; Poales; Poaceae
Description: partial small subunit ribosomal RNA
Source: RNAcentral
AUGACACUGUUGUGCUGGAACUGUCGGGGUUUGGGCCACCCCAAAACAGUUCGAGAACUAGUGUGCCUAGUGCGCACCCACAGCCCCACUGUUGUGUUCAUCUCAAAGACGCGACAGUGUAAGGAGAGCGUGAAAAGAAUAAGAGAUAGAAUAGGUCUGGAAAAUUGUAUCACCCAUGAUGGGGUAGGCAAAGGUGUCGGUAUCGCCCUAUUUUGGGACGAUAGCAUUGAAAUAAACUUGCUCUCUUAUGGACCGCGGUAUAUCGAUGUUCAUAUUCAGAAUGAGCCUAACGGCCCCUUGUGGAGAGGUACGUUUGUGUAUGGAGAACCAAAGGCACAUGAGAGGUACCAUAUGUGGAAUUUACUGAAAAGAAUCAAGCCUAGAUCAGCUGAACCAUGGAUGAUGAUGGGCGACUUCAAUGGAACGAUGUGGCAAGGGGAACACUUCUCUGCAGCAAAAAGAUCUGAAAGAAACAUGAGUAACUUCAGAGAUUGUAUGGGAUGGUGUGACCUACAUGAUUUGGGUUUUAAAGGGUCGGAAUGGACCUAUGACAAUAAGCAGAAGGGGAUAAAAAACGUAAAAGCAUGA